UCCGAAUUGGUGUAGUGGCUAACAUUUGACGCUCUCAUCUUUCCGUGGAAACACGGAUUGGCGGCGCCGUCAAGCCCGGGGUUCGAUUCCCCGAUUCGGAG
Non-coding RNA from Xylaria nigripes, 101 nucleotides. NCBI's taxonomy places the organism in Eukaryota, Fungi, Ascomycota, Sordariomycetes, Xylariales, Xylariaceae. The record is from the annotation of a GenBank genome assembly.